UCCUUCCCUCCUCUCUCUUUCUCCUCCUCAAUUUCCUUCUCCCUCUCCACCUCCUCACUAAUUUCUCACUUCAAUUGCUAAAUCAUCCUAGUCUGCCACAUGCACAACUCAAUAUGCCCUGAACCAGACAAUUCAAGAUGGUUCCACAAAUCCUAUAUGCUAUGUUGGACCUUCUUGGUAAGGGUUCCAUACUAUAUUUUGGAUCCUAUUACAAAAAUAAUGUGAUUGUAGUUGUAUAGAUGCAUGAGUUAACAAACUAUUUUGAAAAAUGAUUAUAAAAGCCAUUGGCAUAAGAAUAUUUAAUUUGAUAUACUUGCUCAAUCCUUUGAUCUAAGUUUUGGUUACUAGACUAUUAGCUCACUCCUUGGUCUCUCUUUUAACAAGUCCAAUAUAUAGGAGGGAAUGGCUCGGGAGGUUUGGACUGUGAACUUAAAGAGACCUAGAUUUGGUUGGAUCAAACCAGCUUUUACGAUUUUGUUGGAACCC
RNAcentral lists this long non-coding RNA (486 nucleotides) under Elaeis guineensis (African oil palm). RNAcentral describes it as "long non-coding RNA (EGUI_LNC043149)". The record is from RNAcentral. Lineage: Eukaryota; Viridiplantae; Streptophyta; Magnoliopsida; Arecales; Arecaceae.